This 569-nucleotide long non-coding RNA is filed under the name Homo sapiens (human). RNAcentral describes it as "non-protein coding lnc-RWDD3-7:21". The record is from RNAcentral. Lineage: Eukaryota; Metazoa; Chordata; Mammalia; Primates; Hominidae.
GAGCUUGAGAAGGAAUCAGAUUCUGCAUAUAUUUCCAAGUUAACAUGAACAAGAUUUUCUGAAAGACUGCUAUGGAGUCUGAGAAAAAAUGUCAAAGGUAGUGCCAAAAUUGUCACUUAAAGAACUGCAGGAAUGGAGUUGGCAUUUACAGAAUUUGGAAGAGAAGCAGGUUUAGUGAUAAAGACCAGAAGCACAGAGCUAAGCAUAUUAAAUAUUGAGGACAUGAAGAGGAAAGAACUGACAGAGGAGGUGAAGAAAGGUGAUCAGGAAGAGCCAUCAAAGUGUUAUCCUGGAAUUCAAGUGAAGACAGUGUUUCAAAGAUAUGCCACAGAGAGGAUCCAGAGAGCCCAUCUCCGGUCAGUUAUCUGUAUUUGUAUGUCAACUACAGCAUCAAAAAGCAUAGGCAUGGAUACUAAGGACCCCCUCUGUACACCAACGCCAGUCCAAAGGACAGUGUGUCACUGUGAACUGGAAAUUCAUCUCUCUUCUUCAAUUUUUUUCUACCUACUUUAUGCUUUAUCUCUAAGUUGAGGCUGUUUAUGGCCUCAUCCUCAAUUACCUUGUCCCUC